Molecule: long non-coding RNA, 584 nt
Filed under: Nicotiana benthamiana
Lineage: Eukaryota; Viridiplantae; Streptophyta; Magnoliopsida; Solanales; Solanaceae
Description: long non-coding RNA (NBEN_LNC039068)
Source: RNAcentral
GUGUUAGAGGUUUGAAUUGCUAUUUUCUGAUCGAGGUAAGUGUUUGAUCUAACUUUGGCUUGAGGGAAUAUGAUUAGAGUGCUUGAUUUCUAUUUGCUAAAUGAUCGAGUACGGUGUAUAGGCAUGGUGACGAGUAUCUAUACGCCUGUGUCUAGCAUGACCGUGAGUCAUAAAUGCUUUUAAUUCGAAAGAUAUGGCACGAAUGUCUUGUUAAAUUGAUAAUUUCCAUGUAAAGUGUUGGAUAAGAAUGAAAUGAAUUAAAAGUGUUUGUGAAGCAAUGAUUCCUUUGCCGGGACGAGUAGGCUGUUACUAUUAAAUUCUCCCUUGCCGGGAUAUUUGGGAUGUUAGUUGUACCCUUGUUGGGUUUAAUUGUUAUAUUGUUGUUCUUCCCUAAUGGGACCUCUCUUGGAGGGAUUAUUAGAGAUAAUCAAUUAUAAUAUGGGAUCGUGUGGCACACCGACCACCACUUAUAUUGAUAACUGUUUUUGGCCAAGAUGCCGGAGACAUUGUACACGGAGAAAAUGGGAUCGUGUGGCGUGUCGUCCACUUAUAUACAAUAACAUGGGAUCGUGUGGCUCUCCGUC